UAUUCUUUAUAGCUUGCUAUGAUAAAAAUUAGUGGCAGACGGGUGAGUAAUGCAUAGGAGUCUACCUAGUAGUAUGGGAUAGCCACUAGAAAUGGUGGGUAAUACUGUAUAAUCCCUGCGGGGGAAAGAUUUAUCGCUAUUAGAUGAGCCUAUGUUAGAUUAGCUAGUUGGUAGGGUAAAGGCCUACCAAGGCAGUGAUCUAUAGCUGGUCUGAGAGGAUGAUCAGCCACACUGGAACUGAGAUACGGUCCAGACUCCUACGGGAGGCAGCAGUGGGGAAUAUUGGACAAUGGGCGCAAGCCUGAUCCAGCUAUGCCGCGUGAG
This 324-nucleotide ribosomal RNA is filed under the name Anaplasma phagocytophilum. Its description in RNAcentral is "bacterial SSU rRNA". It matches the Rfam family "Bacterial small subunit ribosomal RNA", at positions 68 to 405 of the family's 1533-position model. The record is from RNAcentral. Lineage: Bacteria; Pseudomonadati; Pseudomonadota; Alphaproteobacteria; Rickettsiales; Anaplasmataceae.